RNAcentral lists this ribosomal RNA (500 nucleotides) under uncultured bacterium. Its description in RNAcentral is "bacterial SSU rRNA". It matches the Rfam family "Bacterial small subunit ribosomal RNA", at positions 8 to 521 of the family's 1533-position model. RNAcentral also lists the same sequence under 1 other name. The record is from RNAcentral.
AGAGUUUGAUCCUGGCUCAGGACGAACGCUGGCGGCGCGCCUAACACAUGCAAGUCGAACGAGCGAGAGGAGGUUUACUUUCUCAAGCGAGUGGCGAACGGGUGAGUAACGCGUGAGGAACCUGCCUCAAAGAGGGGGACAACAGUUGGAAACGACUGCUAAUACCGCAUAAGCCCACGACCCGGCAUCGGGUAGAGGGAAAAGGAGCAAUCCGCUUUGAGAUGGCCUCGCGUCCGAUUAGCUAGUUGGUGAGGUAAUGGCCCACCAAGGCGACGAUCGGUAGCCGGACUGAGAGGUUGAACGGCCACAUUGGGACUGAGACACGGCCCAGACUCCUACGGGAGGCAGCAGUGGGGAAUAUUGCACAAUGGGGGAAACCCUGAUGCAGCGACGCCGCGUGGAGGAAGAAGGUCUUCGGAUUGUAAACUCCUGUUGUUGAGGAAGAUAAUGACGGUACUCAACAAGGAAGUGACGGCUAACUACGUGCCAGCAGCCGCGGU